AGACAUUGACAGCUCAAUGGAGCAUUGCUUUGCAGCCCCUGUAAUGGUAAUCAUAUGAAAGCAUUUGCCCCACCCCAGGGUGACCGUGGGAACCUGGAGAAGUUAAGAAAUGAAUGUAAUAGACUGAACUGCAAGCUGUGGCAGUCUGGGUCUGGAAGGAGAAGAAGCUGUAGAAGAUAUUUUCCUUCAGUAGCUUCUCCACAGCCAUGGUGGGAGAUGGCAGAAACAGCCAGCAUCACUUCUGGGAGGUGGACCACAGAAGAGAAAAAGAAACAACAGACCCAAUAGGGUCUCGCAUGGUUCUGAACACAUAGUAAAUGCUGAAUUACUAUUUCCUAAAUUAUCAUAAAGCUGAGAAGAAUCAUGAUUCUCAAACUUCACCUUGGAAUUAAAAUGGAUUUCCUUGAGAAGCACAUAUGAGCCGCUUCUACCCCAGGUAAGCAGACCUCUCCUGUGAUGUUCUGGAUAUGCCUGUCUCAACAGAUUUCAGGGUGGCCGUCUUCUCUGCAAAUUCAGUUCUCUGAUGUGUCCAAGGCCUUCAUUAUCUCACUUCACAAGAAGUCAGGUGCCAAGCAGAUCCAAGCUCAUUCAGAGGCUGCACCAUGUCAACU
Molecule: long non-coding RNA, 611 nt
Filed under: Homo sapiens (human)
Lineage: Eukaryota; Metazoa; Chordata; Mammalia; Primates; Hominidae
Description: non-protein coding lnc-PDGFD-1:12
Source: RNAcentral